ACAGAAUCAGGCAGCCAAACCUCAGGUCCACCUUCUCCCUGACCCUCUACAUUGAUCGUGUGGCACAGCAGAUCCUGAAGCCAGUGUCGUAUUCUGGAGAUACUGCAAAGUGCUGCCUGUGUCACCCGAGCUGCCUAUGAGCUGAUAGAGGAUCACAGCCUACUCACGUGGGUCAUGAACAGCUUAGAGAAAAGGUUUCUGGAGAACAAGGUGAUAAAUAAAAUGAUUUCCUUUCUCCAUACUCUAUGGGUAAUAAAUUUAAGAGACAAGAGAAAACAAGAAUCAAUCCCAGAAGAACAGCAAACUUAUUCUUAAUAAGCUUGUAAAUGAAUUUCUGUGUGUUUUGGUCGCAUUAAUCAAACAUAUUUGGGAGCUGCUGCUGCUGCUGCUGCUGCACAAGUGGAGUCUUGUCAGCAAAGACCUGCAGCUGCAGAACGACCUGCAGGCCCUGGCUCAGAAGUACCAAAACAAAGAAUUGCUCAAAAAUAUUAAGGGCAAGAACAAACCUCAAACCUCAUCUCCUGUGGUUUGUCACACUCGGAAAUGGAACAAGGUGGGAGAAGAUGACACUGCUGCAGACAUGGAAGUGUCUGAGCUGGAGAAAGCAGAGACCAUCUGAAUUCCAUACUUGCCCAUUGGGACCCUCUUUUCCCAGCACCACCCUCCACACAGAGAAGGGAGACCCUCAGAGCCAGUGAAGGUGGGGGUGAGGCAGUGGCUAUCACCUGUGCAUCCACUCAUGCCGUCACUGAGUAGCUGGUGAGGUCCCUGGCUGAGCAGA
Molecule: long non-coding RNA, 781 nt
Filed under: Zonotrichia albicollis (white-throated sparrow)
Lineage: Eukaryota; Metazoa; Chordata; Aves; Passeriformes; Passerellidae
Description: lncRNA (ENSZALG00000013196.1)
Source: RNAcentral